Molecule: ribosomal RNA, 459 nt
Filed under: Actinomyces sp. oral taxon 175
Lineage: Bacteria; Bacillati; Actinomycetota; Actinomycetes; Actinomycetales; Actinomycetaceae
Description: bacterial SSU rRNA
Rfam family: Bacterial small subunit ribosomal RNA
Source: RNAcentral
GCGACGCCGCGUGAGGGAUGGAGGCCUUCGGGUUGUAAACCUCUUUCGCCAGUGAAGCAGGCCUGUCCCUUUUGUGGGUGGGUUGACGGUAGCUGGAUAAGAAGCGCCGGCUAACUACGUGCCAGCAGCCGCGGUAAUACGUAGGGCGCGAGCGUUGUCCGGAAUUAUUGGGCGUAAAGAGCUCGUAGGCGGCUGGUCGCGUCUGUCGUGAAAUCCUCUGGCUUAACUGGGGGCUUGCGGUGGGUACGGGCCGGCUUGAGUGCGGUAGGGGAGACUGGAACUCCUGGUGUAGCGGUGGAAUGCGCAGAUAUCAGGAAGAACACCGGUGGCGAAGGCGGGUCUCUGGGCCGUUACUGACGCUGAGGAGCGAAAGCGUGGGGAGCGAACAGGAUUAGAUACCCUGGUAGUCCACGCCGUAAACGUUGGGCACUAGGUGUGGGGGGGCCUUUUCCGGGUCUU